CCCAGGUGUAGCUUAGGUGGGAUUGCUUUACGGCGCAAGUGAAAGACCACUACUGCGUUCCUCGUUCAACUCACUCGAUGAGGACCACGAGAGCGGCCGCAUUCGGGGCGGUGUCGGCGAGCGCAAGGUGCUAAGCGAGGGGUCCCCCGCGCUAAGGGCGCUUCGUCGGUUUCGGCCGGCGGGGUGUUCUGCGGGACCAGGUCUCUCGCGAGGGCGAUCGAGGACAGAGUCAGUUCUGAAUUUAACUGGGGCGGUGUGCCCGCGAAACUCUAGCGCGGGCGCCCCAAGGCCAGCUUCAGAAGGGGGAGAAACCCUUGGUAGAGCGAAAGGGCAAAUGCUGGCUUGAGGAUGCUUUUCAGUAGGAGGGAUCCGUGUGAAAGCAAGGCCUAUCGAUCCUUUUGUGUCGCCCUUAGGGCGACGAUGGGAGAGCUCUAUUUUUACUGCUUCCCGCAAGAGGUGUCAGAAAAGUUACCACAGGGAUAACUGGCUUGUGGCAGCCAAGCGUUCUUAGCGACGUUGCUUUUUGAUCCUUCGAUGUCGGCUCUUCCUAUCAUUGCGAAGCAGAAUUCGCCAAGCGUUGGAUUGUUCACCCACCAACAGGGAACGUGAGCUGGGUUUAGACCGUCGUGAGACAGGUUAGUUUUACCCUACUGGUAGGGAACUCUUUACGAACGAGCGGCUACGAGCGGGUAGGACUGACUAGUACGAGAGGAACGUUGGUCCGGGAUUGAAAGCGUUGGUGCUUGGUGGUUUAUUGCCAUUGGGGCUUUGCCUUUGUCCUGNGGCUUACGGCUGAACGCCUCUAAGCCGGAAUCCCGUCCCACGACGUCCGCGUCUGCUUUUCCGAGACGGGCGACAGAACGAUUAGGCCCCUCCUCGCUCUUCCCGAGUGACUGGGGUGGUGUGUGUCCGACCUGUAUAUUUCGGCAGGUGUCUUUCGAAAGCAGGAAAAUCUGCUUGCAGACGACUUGGGUUUGUGCGAGUCGGGGCNNNNNNNNNNNNNNNNNNNNNNNNNNNNNNNNNNNNNNNNNNNNNNNNNNACCACGGGGCACUUACCCGGUCCGGACAUCGUCAGGAUUGACAGACGCUCGUGCAGUUCUUUCUCGAUUCGAUGGGUGGUGGUGCAUGGCCGUUCGUGGCUGGUGAAGUGAAAAGUCUGGUUUAUUCCGCUAACGGGCGAGGCCUCGCCCUUAACUAGUCGGCUCGUGGUUCUCGAAUCGUAGUCUCCCUUCGGGGAGCAGGGAGAACAUCGGGCGAGUCGCAGCGAUCGUCGCUACUUCUUAGGGGGAUCCCGAGCAAGCUUAAGCUAGGUGAGAGAGAUCAAUAACAGGUCAGUGAUGCCCUUAGAUGUCCGGGGCCGCACGCGCGCUACACUGAAGACGAAAGCGCGAGUGCCUACGGUCUUGGUUUGGUCAGGCCGGGAACCCGCCCCGAGAGGGGAGGUUGGGGCUGUUCCUUCACGGGGGCAGUCUCGCCUACUGCGGGUUAACCGUGCCAAUCGUCUUCGUGCUGGGGAUCGGGGCUUGCAACUCAGCCCCGUGAACGAGGAAUUCCGAGUAGGCGUCCGUCAUCAGCUGGCGCCGAUUAAGUCCCUGCCUUUUGUACACACCGCCCGUCGCUACCUCCGAUAGAAUGGCUAAGCGAGGCCGUUGGACUGGGCCUGCUUUCGAGUGGGCCCGGAAAGGCGUUCGAGCUUAAUCAUUUAGAGGAAGUAAAAGUCGUAACAAGGUUUCCGUAGGUGAACCUGCGGAAGGAUCAUUA
This 1761-nucleotide non-coding RNA is filed under the name Lottia gigantea (owl limpet). Its description in RNAcentral is "Eukaryotic small subunit ribosomal RNA". The stretch from base 1 to 1081 matches the Rfam family "Eukaryotic large subunit ribosomal RNA", at positions 2453 to 3401 of the family's 3401-position model. Lineage: Eukaryota; Metazoa; Mollusca; Gastropoda; Lottiidae. The record is from Rfam by way of RNAcentral.